Long non-coding RNA from Herpailurus yagouaroundi (jaguarundi), 1394 nucleotides. RefSeq lists it as uncharacterized. The transcript is spliced from 2 exons. Lineage: Eukaryota; Metazoa; Chordata; Mammalia; Carnivora; Felidae. The record is from RefSeq and is a predicted model, not a curated record.
ACUAAGGUUUUACUCACUACAGUGACCACACUCUUUGUCUAUGCAGCAAAGAAGUUGUUCAAAUCCCUCAAGCCCCAAACCCCUGGAAGAGUCCUGGGAGACAGGAAUUGCUCUAAGUCACCAUUACAGUUCUUCUGUGGCUGUGUUUGACAUCUUCGUCGCCUGCUGGUCAUCUUUACCUGCCUCUGCUUCUCUGACUCUUGAACCUUCCCUGGUAUUGUUCCUGAGCUAUGACUGUGACAUCACCACUCAGUGACAUCACUCAUGUAUCACCAGGGCCUCCAGGCAGGCUGCACUUUUGUGCAGUCAAGGCUUUUCACUGAGACAGCAAGAGCUUUCUCAUCAUGUUUAUAGAUCUCCAGAGAUUCCCCAAAGCAUGGUCCUUCCUCUCUCUGGUUCCUAAAUAACUUCUACUAAGGUGGCUUUUACUAUUUUACUUUUCAGAUUUUUUCCAAGGCCUGUCUCAAGGAACAUGGGAUAUAUUCACCCAGGAAUAGGUCGGCAGAUAUUAACGAGGCACCUUAUAACAUCUAAUUUAAAGCACACUUCCCUUGCAUGACUCCUACCUACAGGUGAAUUCCUUAUAAACUCAGGGAACUCCCUUAAGAUUAGAACGCAGUUUUGUAUGCCUCCUGUUAUGUAUGUUUAACUUUAGAGAUGUGCAGCCUAUUCACCAAUCUCUAACAUCAUCAUCAAUUAAACAGGGCAUGUGACCACCCGUGAACCCAUGCUAGAGUUUUCCAGGUAUGUUCCUGUGAGGUCUUCAGUGAUUCACUGGAAGUACUCACAGAUCUCAGAAAACCUGUCAUGUUACAAUUAUAGUUUAUUAUAUAGCAAGAGGAUUCAGAUUGAAGUCAGCAAUGGAAAAAGGUACAUAGAGCAAACUCCAGCAGAAACCAAGUACAUGCUUCUAGUUCUCUUGCAGUUCAUGCAUGUGACCAGCCUAAUUCUCCCUGUUACAAUGUGAGACGACACGCAGACAGUGUUGCCAACCAGGAAGGCUCACCUGAGCUUUGGUGUCCAGGCGAACUGCCCAUGGGACUGACCUUCGGCCUCCAGUUCCUCCAGAGGUCAAGCUGAUACCACCACCAGGAGAGAGAAUCGGCUUGACUUGAGGAUGCCUCUCAAGGUAAAGUACUUCAUUUUUGGCCAAUACCAAAUAAAAUUAGGAGGUGCUUAAUGAUUUGGUCCAACAGAAAUCAAGAGGAAAAAAGUAAAGCAGCCAGUAAACCUUUCCGGAACAUUUGCUCAAUUGGCGUGAAGAGCUUAUACCCAAGCCUGAGACUGCUAGAAAUAGAUGCCUAAAGGUUUUUUUUUAAUAGGAUACAUGUAAAUUCAUUAGUCUACAAUACUACAGAAUGCUACUCAGUAAAUAUUUCACUGCCUAACCAUUA